CUGACAGCAACUAGCAGCGUACUCCAGCAAAGUGGACGCAUACAGGAGAGGCAGGUUUUUGGAUUCCAGAACGUGAAGUCGCCUUGCACCUCAGCGAGCUCUUCUUUGCAACGAUACUGUGAUUCCAGCUGGGCAUCUGUCAUGAAGAUCCUUUAUGGUCUCCUUUUGGUCACCCUCUUCCUAUUCCAGGCUGCUCCAGGGGACAGUCAUCUGCUCACUUGUGCCUCCAUGGGUGGAUUUUGCAUGGUGCAAUCCUACAAGACCUGCCCAUCUGGUGUAUUAUUGGAUGGAGUGUGUCGCCACAAAGCAAAAUGCUGCUUGAAGAAGAGAGAUACUUGACCUUGGCCCUUUUUUCA
Long non-coding RNA from Heteronotia binoei (common prickly gecko), 356 nucleotides. RefSeq lists it as uncharacterized. The transcript has 3 exons. The record is from RefSeq and is a predicted model, not a curated record. Lineage: Eukaryota; Metazoa; Chordata; Lepidosauria; Squamata; Gekkonidae.